UCCCUGGUGGUUUAGCGGUAAAGCAUCUGCCUGAAAUGCAGGAGACAUUUGAUCCCUGGGAU
This 62-nucleotide transfer RNA is filed under the name Ovis aries (sheep). It matches the Rfam family "tRNA". From Rfam's summary of the family: Transfer RNA (tRNA) molecules are approximately 80 nucleotides in length. Their secondary structure includes four short double-helical elements and three loops (D, anti-codon, and T loops). Lineage: Eukaryota; Metazoa; Chordata; Mammalia; Artiodactyla; Bovidae. The record is from Rfam by way of RNAcentral.